GGUUAAGCGACUAAGCGUACACGGUGGAUGCCCUGGCAGUCAGAGGCGAUGAAGGACGUGCUAAUCUGCGAUAAGCGUCGGUAAGGUGAUAUGAACCGUUAUAACCGGCGAUUUCCGAAUGGGGAAACCCAGUGUGAUUCGUCACACUAUCAUUAACUGAAUCCAUAGGUUAAUGAGGCGAACCGGGGAACUGAAACAUCUAAGUACCCCGAGGAAAAGAAAUCAACCGAGAUUCCCCCAGUAGCGGCGAGCGAACGGGGAGCAGCCCAGAGCCUGAAUCAGUGUGUGUGUUAGUGGAAGCGUCUGGAAAGGCGUGCGAUACAGGGUGACAGCCCCGUACACAAAAAUGCACAUAUUGUGAGCUCGAUGAGUAGGGCGGGACACGUGGUAUCCUGUCUGAAUAUGGGGGACCAUCCUCCAAGGCUAAAUACUCCUGACUGACCGAUAGUGAACCAGUACCGUGAGGGAAAGGCGAAAAGAACCCCGGCGAGGGGAGUGAAAAAGAACCUGAAACCGUGUACGUACAAGCAGUGGGAGCACGCUUAGGCGUGUGACUGCGUACCUUUUGUAUAAUGGGUCAGCGACUUAUAUUCUGUAGCAAGGUUAACCGAAUAGGGGAGCCGAAGGGAAACCGAGUCUUAACUGGGCGUUAAGUUGCAGGGUAUAGACCCGAAACCCGGUGAUCUAGCCAUGGGCAGGUUGAAGGUUGGGUAACACUAACUGGAGGACCGAACCGACUAAUGUUGAAAAAUUAGCGGAUGACUUGUGGCUGGGGGUGAAAGGCCAAUCAAACCGGGAGAUAGCUGGUUCUCCCCGAAAGCUAUUUAGGUAGCGCCUCGUGAAUUCAUCUCCGGGGUAGAGCACUGUUUCGGCAAGGGGGUCAUCCCGACUUACCAACCCGAUGCAAACUGCGAAUACCGGAGAAUGUUAUCACGGGAGACACACGGCGGGUGCUAACGUCCGUCGUGAAGAGGGAAACAACCCAGACCGCCAGCUAAGGUCCCAAAGUCAUGGUUAAGUGGGAAACGAUGUGGGAAGGCCCAGACAGCCAGGAUGUUGGCUUAGAAGCAGCCAUCAUUUAAAGAAAGCGUAAUAGCUCACUGGUCGAGUCGGCCUGCGCGGAAGAUGUAACGGGGCUAAACCAUGCACCGAAGCUGCGGCAGCGACGCUUAUGCGUUGUUGGGUAGGGGAGCGUUCUGUAAGCCUGCGAAGGUGUGCUGUGAGGCAUGCUGGAGGUAUCAGAAGUGCGAAUGCUGACAUAAGUAACGAUAAAGCGGGUGAAAAGCCCGCUCGCCGGAAGACCAAGGGUUCCUGUCCAACGUUAAUCGGGGCAGGGUGAGUCGACCCCUAAGGCGAGGCCGAAAGGCGUAGUCGAUGGGAAACAGGUUAAUAUUCCUGUACUUGGUGUUACUGCGAAGGGGGACGGAGAAGGCUAUGUUGGCCGGGCGACGGUUGUCCCGGUUUAAGCGUGUAGGCUGGUUUUCCAGGCAAAUCCGGAAAACUAAGGCUGAGGCGUGAUGACGAGGCACUACGGUGCUGAAGCAACAAAUGCCCUGCUUCCAGGAAAAGCCUCUAAGCAUCAGGUAACAUCAAAUCGUACCCCAAACCGACACAGGUGGUCAGGUAGAGAAUACCAAGGCGCUUGAGAGAACUCGGGUGAAGGAACUAGGCAAAAUGGUGCCGUAACUUCGGGAGAAGGCACGCUGAUAUGUAGGUGAAGUCCCUCGCGGAUGGAGCUGAAAUCAGUCGAAGAUACCAGCUGGCUGCAACUGUUUAUUAAAAACACAGCACUGUGCAAACACGAAAGUGGACGUAUACGGUGUGACGCCUGCCCGGUGCCGGAAGGUUAAUUGAUGGGGUUAGCGCAAGCGAAGCUCUUGAUCGAAGCCCCGGUAAACGGCGGCCGUAACUAUAACGGUCCUAAGGUAGCGAAAUUCCUUGUCGGGUAAGUUCCGACCUGCACGAAUGGCGUAAUGAUGGCCAGGCUGUCUCCACCCGAGACUCAGUGAAAUUGAACUCGCUGUGAAGAUGCAGUGUACCCGCGGCAAGACGGAAAGACCCCGUGAACCUUUACUAUAGCUUGACACUGAACAUUGAGCCUUGAUGUGUAGGAUAGGUGGGAGGCUUUGAAGUGUGGACGCCAGUCUGCAUGGAGCCGACCUUGAAAUACCACCCUUUAAUGUUUGAUGUUCUAACGUGGACCCGUAAUCCGGGUUGCGGACAGUGUCUGGUGGGUAGUUUGACUGGGGCGGUCUCCUCCUAAAGAGUAACGGAGGAGCACGAAGGUUGGCUAAUCCUGGUCGGACAUCAGGAGGUUAGUGCAAUGGCAUAAGCCAGCUUGACUGCGAGCGUGACGGCGCGAGCAGGUGCGAAAGCAGGUCAUAGUGAUCCGGUGGUUCUGAAUGGAAGGGCCAUCGCUCAACGGAUAAAAGGUACUCCGGGGAUAACAGGCUGAUACCGCCCAAGAGUUCAUAUCGACGGCGGUGUUUGGCACCUCGAUGUCGGCUCAUCACAUCCUGGGGCUGAAGUAGGUCCCAAGGGUAUGGCUGUUCGCCAUUUAAAGUGGUACGCGAGCUGGGUUUAGAACGUCGUGAGACAGUUCGGUCCCUAUCUGCCGUGGGCGCUGGAGAACUGAGGGGGCUGCUCCUAGUACGAGAGGACCGGAGUGGACGCAUCACUGGUGUUCGGGUUGUCAUGCCAAUGGCACUGCCCGGUAGCUAAAUGCGGAAGAGAUAAGUGCUGAAAGCAUCUAAGCACGAAACUUGCCCCGAGAUGAGUUCUCCCUGACUCCUUGAGAGUCCUGAAGGAACGUUGAAGACGACGACGUUGAUAGGCCGGGUGUGUAAGCGCAGCGAUGCGUUGAGCUAACCGGUACUAAUGAACCGUGAGGCUUAACCUU
RNAcentral lists this ribosomal RNA (2899 nucleotides) under Escherichia coli. RNAcentral's name for it is "23S ribosomal RNA". It matches the Rfam family "Bacterial large subunit ribosomal RNA". Lineage: Bacteria; Pseudomonadati; Pseudomonadota; Gammaproteobacteria; Enterobacterales; Enterobacteriaceae. The record is from RNAcentral.